ACGUAGGUGGCAAGCGUUAUCCGGAUUUAUUGGGCGUAAAGGGUGCGCAGGCGGAUUGUUAAGUUCGAGGUGAAAGCGUUGGGCCCAACCCAAUAUAGCCUUAAAUACUGGCAAUCUAGAGUGCAGAAGAGGGUAAUGGAAUUCCAUGUGUAGCGGUAAAAUGCGUAGAUAUAUGGAGGAACACCAGCGGCGAAGGCGGUUACCUGGUCUGUAACUGACGCUCAGGCACGAAAGCGUGGGGAGCAAAUAG
RNAcentral lists this ribosomal RNA (250 nucleotides) under uncultured bacterium. Its description in RNAcentral is "partial 16S ribosomal RNA". It matches the Rfam family "Bacterial small subunit ribosomal RNA", at positions 525 to 775 of the family's 1533-position model. The record is from RNAcentral.